CGUCCGGACGGCGCGCAGCUGCACUGCGCUUACAGUGUGCUUUGACUUUCGGAGCAAGACCGUGGUGCUUCGCUCCACUCCGCUGUGCUGUGCUGUGCUGCGCGGCGCGGCGCGGCGCUAUCGUGUUAUGUGGAAAUUCGGGGUCAGACCCGCGAUAGGCACUGAGAAGAAACUGUUGCGCGUUAUCAACGGGCUGUCUGCCAGAGAACACCACUGGAGCAGAAGCUGGAGGAGAAGCUGGAGCGGUGUCUGAGCUGCAGAAGAGGAUGUCCGCCAUGGAAGCCCAAAUAAACACUUUCUCCAGCGGUGAGGAAAUUCAGCGGAAAAGAGCAGAGCACAGUCCUAAAAUUGUGAGUUCAGAAUUGCAUGACUCCUCUGACGAAGAGUAUGUCCCAGACGCCCCAACAUCUUCCUCCAGAGGUCGGGCAUCUAAACGAAGCCGUCAGGCGGGCUAUGGAGGCCGUGGUCGGGGAGCGACGCGAGCACCCCGAGCCAAAAAACGUCCUGCAGUCUCUUGGCCUGACAAGCUGUGCGAUGUGCAGUGGCCCGUGACAAGAAGGAUGAGAAAAAGACCUAAUAGCCCUGAGUCCUGAUGACCUCCGGACUCAAAACUGGAAUAAAGAUGAGAAGAAGAAGACCCCAAAGAUGAGAGACCCAUGAAGACGAGGAAGUGAGCCCACCAGAGAUGAUCCUAAAGAUGACAACCAGCCUGCAAUGAGAUGACAGGACAAGUUUGUGAGAAUGCACUGGAUUUAAACAAGGAUGGAACAUUGAGAAGAAAUAAGUCAUUUUCAAGAAAAGAUGAUGGGAAACAUGUCCAGGACCAGUGCAGGAGACGUGAGACCACUCAACAAAAACAAGGUGAAUCCAUGGAGUGAACUGGCUCAUUGGAUACUUUAUGUUAAUUUGUCCUUCCUGCCAUUCCUCCACGCUCCUCACCAUCCCUCCCUGCAGUUCUAUGGCUCAAAUAUAAUUAUUUGUCUUUGAUUUAAUUAACCUUCUUGCUGUGCUUUUGCUCUCUUUAGAGCUCUCUCUCCAAGACACCCGGUAAAAUGUUGAAUCAGAUCAAGAGAAGAAACUGGAUAAGGAGCAGCCCCAGCAUGUAAACUCAAACUAUGGAAGAGGGGAUGCUUAUUGUAGUGGCACAGAAGAUGAGACGACAAGAAAUCUAAUUCUGUUGUGUUUCAUUAGUUUGUAUAUGAUGUGCCUUACAACAAAGGGCAUCAUCCAUCCAUUAGCUACACCUUUUAUCCUAUAGAGUUGCAAGAGCUGCAGGUCACCAGUCCACCUCAGAGUAGUCACAAAGAGACAGACAACCAUUCACACUAACACUUCAGAUUUAGGUUAGAAUCAUCAGUUAACCUUCCAUGUAUGUGUUUGGAUUGCAGGAGGAAGUCAGAGUACAAAGAGAAGACCCCACACAGUCACAGAGAGAACAUGAACAGAAAGAACCAGAUGACCAGCAGAAGACAAGGAAAUAGUUCGAGGAGCCUCAAGACGAUCAGCAACAGACGAAACAUGUCAGAGAACAGGAAGAAGUUGACCAACAGCAUCAAACAGAGAAGAAGAAGAAACAGACGCCGGAAGGAGAAGAAGAAUAAUUUCCAGAUAACUCCAAAGGUAUCUCUGGAUCUGGUGCUACACAUUUAGAUCUGCUGUUACUGGCUUCACCGACCUACAAAGAGUUCAUGUCUUCUCCCUCCUCUUUACCCUCAUUCCAAGUGGAGUUUUUUUUUUCCAACUUCCCAGCAACGGGAAGUUUUUUUUUCCUCAACAAUGCUAUUAAAUGCUUGAUCUGAACAGACUGCAAUAAGACAGUCUUACAUAAAAAGUCAAAACAAAAGACCUGUAUCUGUUGUUUUGAAGUUUGACAUUAAUAGAACCUUCCUGUAAUUUUAGGUUUUAAAGAACCUUAUUCUGUGAUUAGAAAUUCAUGUUAAUCUGAAAAAAUAUCUGUUUUCAAACCACUGGUUUCUCAUGAACACCUAUGACUCCUUCUUCAAACACACUAGAUAAUGACAUAAUAAAAUGAAAAUAAUAUAGCAACUCAAAUUACAAAUAGAAAAUACGAAGUAAAAUACACCCAAAUCAGAGACUCAUCACCCACAACUACAUGUCACCUCUUGAAUAUGUUGUUGUUACUGAAGUCCAGAAGUUUAACAGGUGCAGCAGCUUCUGACCUCUGUGGACUGAGCUGAAAUUGGUUCCAGGGCAACAAAAAUGGGAUUAUUUUAAAGUACUGAUGUUUUCCUCCUGUUAUCUCUGCUCUAUCUGCUUCAUCUUGGAUUCUGAAUAACCCCAUGGACUUUAAUAUGUUGCUAAGGUAAAUACACAUUUGCUACUUGAUGGUUAUGAGCAGGGUGGACAUCUUAUAAAGGUGGCUGCAAAUAUGCUGCGGGGUUAUUCAUUAUUGUUGUAUAAGUCCAUGAAAGUCAUUCAAAUUUAACACUUAAUUCAGACUUUAAAGUCUUACAAACAAGCCACAGCAUUUUCCCCGCUAUAGCAUAAGACGAUAAGGUGUAGUCAGACUAUUCUAUGCAACACGGUGUCAGUAGUAGACAAUGGUUUGAGUAUGGGAGGGUAGUCUCAAGGAGUGAUUAAAAGUGGUGAAAUUAUUUCUUUGUAACUCAGCACUGCUUGAUCUUAUUUUCAGAGCUGUUGUCUUUAGACCCAGGUGAUGCUAACUCAAGUGACAUCACAUGAAGCCAUUUAUCAGACACAUUUAAAGCUGCGGUAGGCGAUAUUUUUUGGCAUCAUUGGGCAAACAUUUCCGAAUAACCUUUGCUCAUACUCUAAGUCAAAUGGUCUGAGAGGAAUCAAGACUUCAGCAUCUCAGUUUGGCUUCGUUUACAGGCUUUAGAAAAUAAUGUAAGAAUAUGGCCACUCAGUCGUUCUUAUUGGCAGUGCUAAUGCAGAUGUGUGUGAAUGUUCUUUCAGAUUGGUGGAAAGUGCGACUCGGUGGUGUCCAAUUUUGCAGGUAAAGUUGCUGUUCCCUCAUUGGUGAAGACUGCAGACACACUGCAAAUCAAUCCCCCAAAAAAGAAAAUAGACCUAACAGAAAAAGAGCAUGAGUGGGUCAAUAUCAACGAGGUGCACUCAUAGAACAGAAGUUAUGUCCACUAACAGCUACAUUUUAACAAAAUAAGGUAAGCUGCUACCUUCAUUUACUGUAAUACCUAAUCAUGUUUUAGUAGACAUUAGGCUGUGCAGGUAGAUUUAUCAUGCCUCACAAAAUCAAGCACUUCAAUAAUUAUUUUAAAUACAUUUCACCCAAUGACCAAAGAAUCAUUUUGUUAAAAUCACAGGAUUACGUUCACCACAUGUCACCACUUCUAACUCCUCAAUGCAUAACCCACUGCAAAACAAGGAAAUUGACUUCCUAACUCUGUCAUUUGAUAUGGUCAAUAUUCACAGUAUUGAGUAUCUCAUUGUUCUUCAGGAUUGCAUUAGAUCCCUAUGUUUAAAUGACAGGAUAGUGCAUGGAUGCAUUAAUCAAAUAAGCUCCAGUACUGUCAGCCUACUUCUUUCUAUAAAUCGAACAGUUGGAUAGUGCAGACAUUUUGAUUUGACCUGUAGCUGUAUUUAUUUUGCCUUUAUGUGUGUGUGAUAUUUUUAUGUAUAGAAAGAUAACAUUCAUCGAUCCAUUUAUCAAUCAGUCAACCUGACCAUCAUCAUCCGUAUGUCAGAAGUAGUUGGAAUGGCUUUCUAAAUUCUGUGUUUAAAUGUACACUACAGAUGUUCUGUGAGCCUACACGAUCAACUUUGCUGUAGUUUUUUUGACAUAUACUACACUGUACAGGGUGCUUUGCCAAUUAUGAACCACUGAAGAAUCAGCUUUGUCCACUGAUGGCACAAAUGUCUAUAUGUUUUGCAUGCAUCAAUGCAAUACUUUAUUUUUAUUUUUUGAUCAUUCAAGUCUUAGACUGGUGCAGGGCAGAAUUAAGGGACAACGCUCACAACCUCUGUGCAGUAUGUUGUGCUUGAAUUGGAGAUGUUAUACUUUGGGCAAAUAUGUGUUAACAUCAAGGGUUUAGCAUGUGGUAGUGGUGGCAAGGUUUCAAACACACACCAUUCUUUCAAUAACCAUGAAAAAGAAUUUAAAUCUUUGGGUUAAUGCAAAUGACAGAUGUUGCAGUAUAACAAUGUUUUCACAGAAGACAGUUGUACCUGCCGCAGUAGGAAAUAGCUCAUUAAUGAAGGGUGAUGAUGUGGAUUCAACUGCUUUUGUUCAAAGAUCCUCGCUUUGUGCCAAAUGAUUUACUUUCAAAGCUUACAGGGACACUUACUAUUAAUAAUGUUAUUAGUAACACUUGUGUUUUUCCACCUAUGAAAUGUUCAUAGUUUUAUGUCAGAAUGCUGUGUUUGUCGUUCGGUCAUACAUCGACAAGUUAUUGAUCUUUUGGGGCGGCUGUGGCUCAGGUGGUAGAGUGGGUUGUCCAAUGAUCAAAGGGUUGGCGGUUUGAUUCCCCCUCUCGCCUAGUGAUGUGCUGUUGUGUCCUUGGGCAAGACACUUAAACCACCUUGCCUCCAGUGCUGCUCUCAUGCUGGUGUGUGAAUGUUGGGGGUGGUCGGAGGGACCGUAGGCGCGGAUUGGCAGCCACGCUUCCAUCAGUCUGCCCCAGGGUACCUGUGGCUUAAUGAAAAAAUUAAGCUUCAAUUAAUUUCUAUUUUAAGGUAAACAUUCACAACAUAUGUGAUCUCCAGGUGUUUCAAAUAAUAGAGUGAAGAUCAAACCCAACAAGUCCAAAGAGUCCCUUGGAUUCCCUUAGAGCAGCACUUGGCAACAAUGCAAAUCAGGAAUAAACAAUGCAACCUAUUUCAGAAAACUG
Molecule: long non-coding RNA, 4829 nt
Organism: Acanthochromis polyacanthus (spiny chromis)
Lineage: Eukaryota; Metazoa; Chordata; Actinopteri; Pomacentridae
Exons: 8
Source: RefSeq, a predicted model, not a curated record